Molecule: ribosomal RNA, 402 nt
Filed under: uncultured bacterium
Lineage: Bacteria
Description: bacterial SSU rRNA
Rfam family: Bacterial small subunit ribosomal RNA
Source: RNAcentral
UUUUGGACAAUGGGGGCAACCCUGAUCCAGCAAUGCCGCGUGAGUGAAGAAGGCCUUCGGGUUGUAAAGCUCUUUUGUCAGGGAAGAAACACCGGCUCUAACACAGUCAGGGAAUGACGGUACCUGAAGAAUAAGCACCGGCUAACUACGUGCCAGCAGCCGCGGUAAUACGUAGGGUGCAAGCGUUAAUCGGAAUUACUGGGCGUAAAGCGUGCGCAGGCGGUUAUACAAGACAGGCGUGAAAUCCCCGGGCUCAACCUGGGAACUGCAUUUGUGACUGUAUAGCUAGAGUACGGUAGAGGGGGAUGGAAUUCCGCGUGUAGCUGUGAAAUGCGUAGAUAUGCGGAGGAACACCGAUGGCGAAGGCAAUCCCCUGGACCUGUACUGACGCUCAUGCACGAA